RNAcentral lists this ribosomal RNA (406 nucleotides) under uncultured bacterium. RNAcentral's name for it is "partial 16S ribosomal RNA". It matches the Rfam family "Bacterial small subunit ribosomal RNA", at positions 30 to 526 of the family's 1533-position model. The record is from RNAcentral.
AUUGAACGCUGGCGGCCGGCCUAACACAUGCAAGUCGAGCGAGCGGCCGACGGGUGAGUAAUGUCUGGGAAACUGCCUGAUGGAGGGGGAUAACUACUGGAAACGGUAGCUAAUACCGCAUACCAUCAGAUGUGCCCAGAUGGGAUUAGCUAGUAGGUGGGGUAACGGCUCACCUAGGCGACGAUCCCUAGCUGAUCUGAGAGGAUGACCAGCGACAUUGGAACUGAGACAGGGGUCAGACUCCAACGUGAGGCAGCAGUAGGGAAUAUUGCACAAUGGGCGCAAGCCUGAUGCAGCCAUGCCGCGUGAGUGAAGAAGGCCUUCAGGUUGUAACGCACUUUCAGCGGGGAGGCGGUGCACGCAGAAGAAGCACCGGCUAACUCCGUGCCAGCAGCCGCGGUAAUAC